AAAAAUCAAUGCAUAGAAAUUGUACGUAUAAAUAAAUGUAUAUAUCAAUUUAAACAUAAAUAUAUUAUAAGUAUAUGUAUAUACAUUGAUCACACGUACUACUAACAUUUGAAGUUAAUUUGUUUGCAUAAAUUUUAAAUUACUUUGGUUUAUUAUUUAUUUUUUUUAUUAUUUUUUGGACAUCGUGCACAAUUAUUGAACAAAAUAUAUGUCUCAUUAAAUAUAUAUAUAUAUUGUGCUUGCCGCUUAUAUUUUACAUAUCUCAUAUAUCACAUAAGUUGUAUAUAUAACACACCAGAAGAUAUAAACUAAAUAAUAAACGAAAUAUAAAUAAAAAUGGAUUCAGAGUAUCAAGGUUUAUUAAAUGGAAAAGAAAGAGAGGAAGAAACAAAUGGAACUCAUAUAGCUGAGAAAGUCGAAAAGGGUGGUGAAACAGUUGAAAAUACAUUGAUGAAAUUAAAUGUAAGAUAUCAAACUUUAUUUUUUUCAUCUGGUGUCAUGACUGUUUUUUGUGGUAUCAUCUCAUUACUAGAAUCGAUCAGAUAUUUUUAUUUUACUAACUUUAUAGUUUCAACUUUCUUAAUAACUAUGGGAUUAAUAAUGAUGAUUUUAGAUACACCAGGUACACCCCGGUGGGCUGCGAAACAUAGAAUUAUGAUAAGAAAAUACAUAAAAUUUUUAACAAGAUUAACUGGAAAGGCAGUAUGGUUUUUCUUUCUAGGUAAGGCAAGAAAUGUGCAUACAUAUUGUACACAUAUGUGCCACUUAAAAAAAGACGAUGAAAUAUAAUACAAACAUAUGUCUAUAUUCUUCUACAUGUUUUUUAUUCAUUGUAAAAUAUGUUGUAAAAUAUGUUGUAAAAUAUAUUGUUAAUUAAUUUAUUUGUUUAUUUUUUUUUUUAUCGCAUUGGUGUAUAUGCAAGUGUAUAUCUUCACAUUUAUUCAUCCCAUUUUAUAUUAUCUUAUUUUGCUCUGAUCUGCUUUAAUUUUAUUUUAUCUUAUUUUAUCUUAUUUUAUUUUAUUUUAUUUUAUCUUGUUUUUUUUUUUUUUUUUUUUUUUUUUUUUAGGAACAGGCUCUGUUUCAUGCCUAAAUCUGUGGCCACAAGCAAAAAAGGUUACUUUCUUUAGAUCAUUUUGGGUAACAAUAUGUAGCACAUUUAUUUUGGCUGUUUCAGUUGUUGGAUUUUUAAUAGGUUUAAGGAAAUCCUUAAGAUUAGAAAAGUUAAAAAAAACUAUUAAAUUAGUUUCUAAAGGUGCUUAUAUUGAUUGUUAUAGA
This 1275-nucleotide long non-coding RNA is filed under the name Piliocolobus tephrosceles (Ugandan red Colobus). Its description in RNAcentral is "lncRNA (ENSPTEG00000015382.1)". The record is from RNAcentral. Lineage: Eukaryota; Metazoa; Chordata; Mammalia; Primates; Cercopithecidae.